Molecule: non-coding RNA, 1705 nt
Organism: Arachis ipaensis
Lineage: Eukaryota; Viridiplantae; Streptophyta; Magnoliopsida; Fabales; Fabaceae
Source: RefSeq, a predicted model, not a curated record
UUAAAAUUAUGUGCUGUCACGUGAUAAACAAGAUUGAAGUUUUCUAGAUCUUUGGGAAAUGUCAUUUUACUAUAACAUCUUACUUUCUAAAGGCCAAACAUGCAUGUGUAUUCAUUUUAUUUAAUGUGGAAUUAUGAUUCCAUUAUUAUAGGGGAAAGGAUGUAAGUGUUGAGAACAUGCAUCAAGGUUUUACACACGUGUUUAAGUCAACUUUUGGAAUAAUUGUUACUUGUUACAAUAUCUCAUGCUGGUCUAAUGGUCUUGCCUUUAACAUCAUUUUAUUCUCUCUCUGUGUCUCUUGUUAACUUUAAUCAAUACAUUUAUUCUGAAGCUAUGUUCAUCGAGUGGGUCAUACAGCAAGAGCUGGCCGAGAAGGAUGCGCCGUCACAUUUGUGACUGAUAAUGACCGGUCACUUCCAAAAGCAAUUGCAAAGAGAGCUGGUUCAAAUCUGUAGAGGUGAAUUGUAGCAGAGCAAUUCAUACAUAAAUGGUCUCAUAUAAUUGAGCAAUUAGAGGAUCAAAUUGCAGAAGUACUUGAAGAAGAGAGGUUUUUGAUUGUUAAUGGUUCUCAUAUUUUAACUACUGUACUGUAUUAAUAACUAAUGUGUUGUAUUUUUACAUCCCAAAUUCUCAAUUUUUCUUAUUUUGGGGUCCAAGGAAGAAAGAGCCCUAAGAAAAGCUAUAAUGGAAGCGGCUAGAGAGAUGUUGGAAGAUGAAGGAGAUGAUGACAAACCAGAAGUAUGCACUUCCUUGUUUGCAUUUAAGGUUGUAAUUUAAUAUGUAUUCCUUAACCUCUGUUGAACUUUAAUACAUGAACUGCAAGCUAAGGGGGCAAAUAAGAAAGAAAAGGGUGGACUUUCGCUUGUUGAUGUCGCUUAUCAACGAGCAAAAGCGGUGAAGCUGUCAAGAAGGCAAUGGAUUCAGGCAAGAUCGUGAAGAAGAACAAAAAGAAUACUGCUCGUCCUUCACAUAAGUCGUCUUCAAGGACACAGGAGAUGCAGGAGCUAUUCCAGGCUGACAUGAAGGACAAAUAGUUGAAAGAAGAGGUGCUGGAGCAGGAAAGAAAUCCAAGAGUUCGUUCAAGAGCAAGUCAAGGUACAAGCGCAAGUAGUUUGAGGCUAACGAUCCUUAUUGAAAAUGUGUUCAUGGAAUGAAAAUGCACCUGCAAUGCAAGACCUUAUUGUUAAUCUGACAUGGGUGCAAAGGCAUAAGACUUGUACCAUAUCCAAUCACCAAUGGAGGUGAUUAAAUGAGCAGCUCCUACCACCUGUGAGUUUUAAUUGUUGCCUUUUGAUCCUUUUGUGUUACCAUGGUGACUGGUUGAAUAUUAGUUAUUUAGAUGUUCCUAGUUGAGAAUACCUUACUGAUUCUUUGCUUAGACAGAAUUGAAGUAGAAACUAACAGUAAAAAGAAAGUCAGUGAUUUUUAUUAUCCUUUUUAUAAUAUUUCUGUUAAGCUGGUUUUCAAUUAAUUAAGCAAAGAGAAUUGGUUCAAAGCUGAAGAGCCGAAUUGUAGCGAAGCAAUCCAUACAUAAAUGGUCUCAUAUAAUUGAGCAAUUGGGAACUUUGCUUCAUUCUUUCUGCUGUAUUAUUGUAUUGCAUCUGUGCUAGGCUCUAUUUGUUUUCUUUUGAUCAUUAACUAUGUGCUAAUCAUUGAUGUAACAUAGAUUUGUAGUAUUUGUGUUGUUUAAAUUUGUAUUAUGCUU